This 75-nucleotide transfer RNA is filed under the name Ruegeria sp. TrichCH4B. RNAcentral's name for it is "Silicibacter sp. TrichCH4B tRNA-Ala". It matches the Rfam family "tRNA". Rfam says of the family: Transfer RNA (tRNA) molecules are approximately 80 nucleotides in length. The record is from RNAcentral. Lineage: Bacteria; Pseudomonadati; Pseudomonadota; Alphaproteobacteria; Rhodobacterales; Roseobacteraceae.
GGGGCUUAGCUCAGCUGGGAGAGCGCGUGAUUUGCAUUCAGGAGGUCAGGAGUUCGAUCCUCCUAGGCUCCACCA